RNAcentral lists this unclassified non-coding RNA (91 nucleotides) under Soonwooa buanensis. Its description in RNAcentral is "Flavo-1 RNA". The record is from RNAcentral. Lineage: Bacteria; Pseudomonadati; Bacteroidota; Flavobacteriia; Flavobacteriales; Weeksellaceae.
AAAUAGCCCCGAUGGGAGCGAUUGUUUGAGCUCGUUGUAAAGCUUGGAUUUGCUUUGGCUACAACAGCGAGUGCGGACAGCGGGAUCAAUA